UAUAGGGGCGAAAGACCAAUCGAACCAUCUAGUAUCUGGUUCCUUCCGAAGUUUCCCUCAGGAUAGCUGGUGCAUUUUAAUAUUAUAUAAAAUAAUCUUAUCUGGUAAAGCGAAUGAUUAGAGGCCUUAGGGUCGAAACGAUCUUAACCUAUUCUCAAACUUUAAAUGGGUGAGAACCUUAACUUUCUUGAUAUGAAGUUCAAGGUUAUGAUAUAAUGUGCCCAGUGGGCCACUUUUGGUAAGCAGAACUGGCGCUGUGGGAUGAACCAAACGUAAUGUUACGGUGCCCAAAUUAACAACUCAUGCAGAUACCAUGAAAGGCGUUGGUUGCUUAAAACAGCAGGACGGUGAUCAUGGAAGUCGAAAUCCGCUAAGGAGUGUGUAACAACUCACCUGCCGAAGCAACUAGCCCUUAAAAUGGAUGGCGCUUAAGUUGUAUACCUAUACAUUACCGCUAAAGUAGAUGAUUUAUAUUACUUGUGAUAUAAAUUUUGAAACUUUAGUGAGUAGGAAGGUACAAUGGUAUGCGUAGAAGUGUUUGGCGUAAGCCUGCAUGGAGCUGCCAUUGGUACAGAUCUUGGUGGUAGUAGCAAAUAAUCGAAUGAGACCUUGGAGGACUGAAGUGGAGAAGGGUUUCGUGUGAACAGUGGUUGAUCACGAGUUAGUCGGUCCUAAGUUCAAGGCGAAAGCCGAAAAUUUUCAAGUAAAACAAAAAUGCCUAACUAUAUAAACAAAGCGAAUAUAAUACACUUGAAUAAUUUUGAACGAAAGGGAUACGGUUCCAAUUCCGUAACCUGUUGAGUAUCCGUUUGUUAUUAAAUAUGGGCCUCGUGCUCAUCCUGGCCAACAGGAACGACCAUAAAGAAGCCGUCGAGAGAUAUCGGAAGAGUUUUCUUUUCUGUUUUAUAGCCGUACUACCAUGGAAGUCUUUCGCAGAGAGAUAUGGUAGAUGGGCUAGAAGAGCAUGACAUAUACUGUUGUGUCGAUAUUUUCUCCUCGGACCUUGAAAAUUUAUGGUGGGGACACGCAAACUUCUCAACAGGCCGUACCAAUAUCCGCAGCUGGUCUCCAAGGUGAAGAGUCUCUAGUCGAUAGAAUAAUGUAGGUAAGGGAAGUCGGCAAAUUAGAUCCGUAACUUCGGGAUAAGGAUUGGCUCUGAAGAUUGAGAUAGUCGGGCUUGAUUGGGAAACAAUAACAUGGUUUAUGUGCUCGUUCUGGGUAAAUAGAGUUUCUAGCAUUUAUGUUAGUUACUUGUUCCCCGGAUAGUUUAGUUACGUAGCCAAUUGUGGAACUUUCUUGCUAAAAUUUUUAAGAAUACUAUUUGGGUUAAACCAAUUAGUUCUUAUCAAUUAUAACGAUUAUCAAUUAACAAUCAAUUCAGAACUGGCACGGACUUGGGGAAUCCGACUGUCUAAUUAAAACAAAGCAUUGUGAUGGCCCUAGCGGGUGUUGACACAAUGUGAUUUCUGCCCAGUGCUCUGAAUGUCAAAGUGAAGAAAUUCAAGUAAGCGCGGGUCAACGGCGGGAGUAACUAUGACUCUCUUAAGGUCGAAGCGACCGCAAGACUUUCGUCCAAUAUCGGUGCCUUCAGUCCUGGUAAGACAGCUAAAUGCAAUAUUGGCAACCCGGU
RNAcentral lists this non-coding RNA (1630 nucleotides) under Drosophila sechellia. Its description in RNAcentral is "Eukaryotic large subunit ribosomal RNA". It matches the Rfam family "Eukaryotic large subunit ribosomal RNA", at positions 916 to 2307 of the family's 3401-position model. Lineage: Eukaryota; Metazoa; Arthropoda; Insecta; Diptera; Drosophilidae. The record is from Rfam by way of RNAcentral.